Molecule: long non-coding RNA, 893 nt
Organism: Homo sapiens (human)
Lineage: Eukaryota; Metazoa; Chordata; Mammalia; Primates; Hominidae
Source: Ensembl
AGAGGGGAUAUUGUAUGUAACUGGUGACAUUUGAAAGAGACAUAUUGGACAGAAAUGACAUACGUGAAAGCUAAGAUACAAUAUAUUUAAUUUUCUAAGAAUUCAGUUCAAGGUAGUCUGCCUGGUUUCUCAAGUUCUGCAUGUUUCUUCAGUAGACUAAAUAAUGAUAAGGAAGCUGAGAUGUAGAGCUGAAGUGUCUUGCCCAAGAUCAUUUGUCUAGUUCUUCCUUAUGCCAGUCCACCAAGAAUACCUGCUUAAAGGCCAGGUCACCAGUUCAGCUUUGCAGAUAGGCUAUGAAGUUGAUGGAUAUCUCUGAUUGGGCACCCCAGCUGGUAGGAACACAGCUGCAGCUCCUGUUCCACUUCCUUUCUUGUACUGCUGAACAUCCAGAUAGAGGCAUUGACAUGCAUGGUUUCCAACUGAUCACUUCCUACUCCCUUAAGGACCUCCUGUCAGGCAGUUUUGCUAAUUUCUUUAAUAUCAGAAGACAGCUGGAUUCUCAUUUCUGCUUCUGCAUUCAGUCUAUUGUGAUAUAGCAUAUCAUGUAACUUCUGAAAAACUUCACUGUACACAGAUGCUGACCUCACAGACUCCCUGAAAGGAUCUCCAUGACCUCUAUGGUUCCUUAGACUGCACUUUGAGAACUAUUGACGUACAGGGAAAAAUGCUCUUGGUGCCAAGAAGGGAUUCCGAAGAUAGAAGAGGAGGCAUCAACACCGUGAACAUCAUGGCUGAGUUAUUUUGUGAGAGGGAUAAGCCUAAAGUAAAAACCUUGGAUUUGCCUCUGUCCUUGAACAUGCUAUCUGGAAAGAGUUUUCUUAAAAGUAUUGUUGUGAACACAUCCAUUUUCCCAGUAUAGUUGAAUGCAGGGUUUAAUAAAUGGAAUGAAUCUA